GAUGAACGCUGGCGGCGUGCUUAACACAUGCAAGUCGAACGAUGAAGCCCAGCUUGCUGGGUGGAUUAGUGGCGAACGGGUGAGUAACACGUGAGUAACCUGCCCUUGACUCUGGGAUAAGCCUGGGAAACUGGGACUAGUACUGGAUAUGACUUCUCAUCGCAUGGUGGGGGGUGGAAAGAUUUAUUGGUCUUGGAUGGACUCGCGGCCUAUCAGCUUGUUGGUGAGGUAAUGGCUCACCAAGGCGACGACGGGUAGCCGGCCUGAGAGGGUGACCGGCCACACUGGGACUGAGACACGGCCCAGACUCCUACGGGAGGCAGCAGUGGGGAAUAUUGCACAAUGGGCGCAAGCCUGAUGCAGCGACGCCGCGUGAGGGAUGACGGCCUUCGGGUUGUAAACCUCUUUCAGUAGGGAAGAAGCGAGAGUGACGGUACCUGCAGAAGAAGCGCCGGCUAACUACGUG
Molecule: ribosomal RNA, 466 nt
Filed under: uncultured bacterium
Lineage: Bacteria
Description: partial 16S ribosomal RNA
Rfam family: Bacterial small subunit ribosomal RNA
Source: RNAcentral